ACCUACGAGAUGAUGUGCUCGGACGUAGAGUACAGGUGCUGCAUGGCUGUCGUCAGCUCGUGUCCGUGAGAUGUUGGGUUAAGUCCCGNAACGAGCGCAACCCUUUUCCUUAUUUGCCAGCGGGUCAUGCCGGGAACUUUAAGGAUACUGCCAGUGACAAACUGGAGGAAGGCGGGGACGACGUCAAGUCAUCAUGGCCCUUACGGCCAGGGCUACACACGUGCUACAAUGGUCGGUACAAAGGGUUGCUACCUCGCGAGAGGAUGCUAAUCUCAAAAAGCCGAUCGUAGUCCGGAUCGCAGUCUGCAACUCGACUGCGUGAAGUCGGAAUCGCUAGUAAUCGCGGAUCAGAAUGCCGCGGUGAAUACGUUCCCGGGCCUUGUACACACCGCCCGUCACACCAUGGGAGUUUGUUGCACCAGAAGUAGGUAGUCUAACCGCAAGGAGGACGCUUACCACGGUGUGGCCGAUGACUGGGGUGAAGUCGUAACAAGGUAGGCGUAGAUGA
This 508-nucleotide ribosomal RNA is filed under the name uncultured bacterium. RNAcentral describes it as "bacterial SSU rRNA". It matches the Rfam family "Bacterial small subunit ribosomal RNA", at positions 992 to 1509 of the family's 1533-position model. The record is from RNAcentral.